RNAcentral lists this ribosomal RNA (481 nucleotides) under uncultured bacterium. RNAcentral describes it as "partial 16S ribosomal RNA". It matches the Rfam family "Bacterial small subunit ribosomal RNA", at positions 28 to 507 of the family's 1533-position model. The record is from RNAcentral.
GAUGAACGCUGGCGGCGUGCUUAACACAUGCAAGUCGAACGAAGCACUUUAUUUGAUUUCCUUCGGGACUGAUUAUUUUGUGACUGAGUGGCGGACGGGUGAGUAACGCGUGGGUAACCUGCCUUGUACAGGGGGAUAACAGUUGGAAACGGCUGCUAAUACCGCAUAAGCGCACAGCAUCGCAUGAUGCAGUGUGAAAAACUCCGGUGGUAUAAGAUGGACCCGCGUUGGAUUAGCUAGUUGGUGAGGUAACGGCCCACCAAGGCGACGAUCCAUAGCCGACCUGAGAGGGUGACCGGCCACAUUGGGACUGAGACACGGCCCAAACUCCUACGGGAGGCAGCAGUGGGGAAUAUUGCACAAUGGGCGAAAGCCUGAUGCAGCGACGCCGCGUGAGCGAAGAAGUAUUUAGGUAUGUAAAGCUCUAUCAGCAGGGAAGAUAAUGACGGUACCUGACGAAGAAGCACCGGCUAAAUACGUG